Molecule: long non-coding RNA, 10359 nt
Filed under: Xyrichtys novacula (pearly razorfish)
Lineage: Eukaryota; Metazoa; Chordata; Actinopteri; Labriformes; Labridae
Source: RNAcentral
GUAGUUCUUCUGUCUUAGCGUCUCAGUCUGAUUGUAUUUCCAUGAAGAAAUGAUCAUAAAUGUUCUUCCUUGAGCUGCGGCACCCCGCUGUAGUUCGUAAUGGACUGGCCUGAGGUCUCUGUACAAACAAGCGUCUGCUGGAAGAGAGUAGGUGAGUUGUGUUUAGUCUCUUUACUAAAGAAAUGAGUCAAAGUUAAAAAGAUGUUUGGUGUCUAGUACUAUGUCUGUGACCCUAUAUGUCCUGUUGAUGAAGUUAGGUGCUGUUCUGAGCAUUAUUUGUGGCUAUAGAGUGGCGUUUUGGUUGAGGUUUGUUUAUGGCUCCUCAGACCGUUGUGUAUUACUAUCCUGUGGUCGUUACUAAAGUUGGUAUAACUAGAGAAGCAAGCGGUCGGCAACAUUCAUCUCUGGAGGGGGGGGGUCUAACUCGAUGUUGCGCUGUGUUUGACUCUAAAUUAGUUUUACACCGGAAUAUUCCUUUAAGAGGCUUUUGGACAUGAGGCAGGAAACAGGGAGAAGGAUCAGGGAGGGAUGAACGUUAUAUAUGUUGCAAACACAUAGACUGUAAGGCCAGUAGCAACCCCAGAAGGCUUACUUUAAGGACACUGUUGGUGCGCUCAGUGACAGACUUAUUGAUGGUAACCGUUUUUUAAAUACCAUGACUUAACAGUGUUGGCCUUUUGUGUUGGUUUCCAAAUGUCAUAAAACUUAGAAUAGACGAAGAAGACAUAGCAGACAGCUAGCAAGAUAGUCGGAUGCUACUUCACGAGUAAUUCAUGUAAGUGUUGUUUUAUUGUUUACAUAACUUUGUGGCCAUGAUAAUCUUGGGGUAAAUGUGGGGUGAAAUUGUGACUUCCGAGGGUUAAACCUCUGCGUUAAACUCACACAUGAGUUUUGGUGCCAAACAGCACAGACACACAGUUUUGUAUUUUUCACGUGCCAUUCUCCACACUAGUGCAGGAUAUCCUGCAGGAUAAAGUUGUCGUGAAUCUCCGCAGGUCACCGAGCCACACGUUACACAAACUCUUGGCACUCUUGUUUUUUGGCGAUUAGUGCACACUUCCUUUCCCCCCCUUAGCUAUCCUAUUAACCAGAGUAAAAAAUGCCCCAGAACAUGAAUAAAAAGACGCUUAAGUGGUCUUUUACUCUGAUUUUUUCAAAGGAUUCUUGGUUCAUUUGUAAUUGUGUAAAAAGAAAAAAAAAACAUUCAAAAUUCAUCCCCCGUUUUUCCUGAUUUGCAGAACAAAUCUCAUAUUUAGUAUCAGUGUCUCUGCAGAGACUUUUCAAGUCUUUAAAUGCUGCGAGCCUAAAAAACAGCCUCACAGUAAUGAGCUAAAUGUCCUCCAUACACAGCAGGGAGUAUAAUUAAAAAGUGCAAAUCAGCAGCAUUAAACAAACAUGAGGCUGACAAUGAUCCAGUGACUGCGCUGAGCCUCGACAUGCAGCAUGUUUGGAUGUGACAGAGUUAAGGAUCCUUCUGGACCAUCGGACAGAGAUGUUGGUCAAACGUAGGUGAAGGAGAGGAGACUGUGUGGGCUUUUGUCUACUCGGUUAAACCCUGACAAGAAGCUGACACCAAAAUGAGGCCGCUCCAUUUAACACAAAGUGUCUAAUUUGCCGCAGGGUGAAAAUAAGCAGCUUAAGAGCAUAUGAAGUUGCACUUUGUGUCGGAUGGUUGUGUGUUAUUUGUCAGCGGGCUGUAAUUACUCUGUCUGGAUUUUAUUGCGCCGAGCGCUCACAGAUGAAAAGAGGAGUGACGGCCGAGUCAAGAGGACAGACAGCGCCUGAGAGAGAGAGAGAAUAUGAUGUUCGAGGUUGGUGUUUACAGGACCUGAAAAGGGGUCAGGCGGUUUUAUGGGACGGACCUCGUGUCCUUGUUAUUAACCCUUCCGGGACCUUUAGAUUUUCCUCCCUCUAAAGUCCCUCGUGGCUGUUAAAAGCCACUUUUUCUGUCGGCUGUAAAAUCAUAUUGGAUUAAUAUUUUUUUCAGAUUUUUUUUCACAAAUUUCUUAUUUUACUUCUGCCCUGUUCGAAACUAGCAAAUGUUUCAUUGAAAACAAUUUUUUUUAACCCUUUAAGUGCCAAUUUAAGACAAAAAGUCACAAAUUUAGCAAAAAUUGAAGGAAAAUGACCCAUUUUUUUUAUAAGACAUGAUCAGAAACUGGUAAUCUCUUGCAGGGUAUUAAAGUCUUGAAUAUGUCAGAGAUUAGUAAUAUAAUUUACUUAUAUGCAUUUUCAGUUUUUCUGUAGCAUCAGAUUUAAUGAAAACUGCCUUUGGCGCCUCCCAGUGGCCAAAACCACUAUUUCUGCUGUAAAAUCAUAUUGGAUUAAUAUUUUUUUCAGAUUUUUUUUAUACAUUUCUUAUUUUACUUCUGCCCUGUUCAAAACUAGCAAAUGUUUCAUUGAAAAUAAAAAUUUUAACCCUUUAAGAGCCAAUUUAAGACAUAAAGUCACUUAAAAAGCAAAAAAAUGGAAGGAAAAAGAAGGAAAAUGACCCAUUUUUUAAAUAAAACAUGAUCAAAAACUGGUAAUCUCUUGCAGGGUAUUAAAGUCUUGAAUAUGUCAGAGAUUAGUAAUAUAAUUUACUUAUAUGCAUUUUCAGUUUUUCUGUAGCAUCAGAUUUAAUGAAAAACUGCCUUUGGCGCCUUCGAGUGGCCAAAGCUACUUUGUCUGCUGUAAAAUCAUAUUGGAUUAAUAUUUUUUUCAGAUUUUUUUUCAUACAUUUCUUAUUUUAAUUCUGCCCUGUUCAAAACUAUCAAAUGUUUCAUUAAAAAUAAAAAUUUUAACCCUUUAACGGCCAAUUUAAGACAUAAAGUCUCUUAUGAAGCAAAAAAAUGGACGGAAAAUGGAAGGAAAAUGACCUCUUUGCUUCAUAAGAGACUUUAUGUCUUAAAUUGGCCCUUAAAGGGUUAAAAUUUUUAUUUUCAAAGAAACAUUUGCUAGUUUUGAACAGGGUAGAAGUAAAAUAAGAGCUGUAUGAAAAAAAAUCUGAAAAAAAUAUUAAUCCAAUAUGAUUUUACAGCAGAAAUAGUGGUUUUGGCCACUGGGAGGCGCCAAACGCAGUUUUUCAUUAAAUCUGAUGCUACAGAAAAACUGAAAAUGCAUAUAAGUAAAUUAUAUUACUAAUCUCUGACAUAUUCAAGACUUUAAUACCCUGCAAGAGAUUACCAGUUUCUGAUCAUGUUUUAUUAAAAAAAUGGGUCAUUUUCCUUCAUUUUCCUUCCAUUUUAUUUGCUUUUUAAGUGACUUUAUGUCUUAAAUUGGUCCUUAAAGGGUUAAAAUGUUUAUUUUCAAUGAAACAUUUGCUAGUUUUGAACAGGGCAGAAUUAAAAUAAGAAAUGUAUGAAAAAAAUCUGAAAAAAAUAUUAAUCCAAUAUGAUUUUACAGCAGAAAAGGCAGUUUUGGCCACUGGGAGGCGCCAAAGGCAGUCUUUCAUCAAAUCUGAUGCUACAGAAAAACUUAAAAUGCAUUGAAUUCAAUUAUAUCACUAAUCGCUGACAUAUUCAAGACUUUAAUACCCUGCAAGAGAUUACCAGUUUCUGAUCAUGUUUUAUUUAAAAAAUGGGUCAUUUUCCUUAAAUUUUUCCUUCCAUUUUUUUUUGCUUUUUAAGUGACUUUAUGUCUUAAAUUGGCCCUUAAAGGGUUAAAAUUUUUAUUUUCAAUGAAACAUUUGCUAGUUUUGAACAGGGCAGAAGUAAAAUAAGAAAUGUAUGAAAAAAAAUCUGAAAAAAAUAUCAAUCCAAUAUGAUUUUACAGCAGACAAAGUAGUUUUGGCCACUGGGAGGCGCCAAACGCAGUUUUUCAUUAAAUCUGAUGCUACAGAAAAACUGAAAAUGCAUAUAAGUAAAUUAUAUUACUAAUCUCUGACAUAUUCAAGACUUUAAUACCCUGCAAGAGAUUACCAGUUUCUGAUCAUGUUUUAUUAAAAAAAUGGGUCAUUUUCCCUCAAUUUUUGCUAAAUUUGUGACUUUUUGUCUUAAAUUGGCACUUAAAGGGUUAAAAAAACUGUUUUUAAUGAAACAUUUGCUAGUUUCGAACAGGGCAGAAGUAAAAUAAGAGAUUUGUGAAAAAAAAUCAGAAAAAAAUAUUAAUCCAAUAUGAUUUUACAGCCGACAAAACAAGUGGCUUUCAACAGCCACGAGGGACUUUAGAGGACGUUUUUCUGUCCUGGCUUUAUUAUUGACUUGGUGAAAAUUUUGAAUUCAUGUUUUCAAAUAAAAUUUCAAAUUAAGCUUAGAAAAAAAAAUUCAUCACAUUUGCUGCAGUAAAAAAAAAGUUAUAUCCAAAUUAGUCUCUAGCUCUAUCAUAAAUUGGCUGUUAAAAGCCCGAAGGUUCCGCAAGGGAAUAUGUUCUCAAAAGAAGCAGCUGGACCGAGGUUUAGAUAACUCAUCUUUAUGUGAUUACCACUUUAGGAAAAAGGACAAAUAUAACACAACACUCUUAAUAUUACAGGCUUUAGAUCCAUUUUCACGUCACCAGACAGUCAUGUGACCUUGGAGAUACCUUAUAAUUUCACACAGUGAAUCAGGGUGUAAUGAGGCGCAGUCACGUUAUUAAUAAUGCAUGUUUGCGGUUUAAAGCUGUAGUGCGUGACUUCUACAUGUCUGUAAAUAUCCGUUUUACCAAAGCCUACAAGAGGAGAAGAUACAACGCUGAUUAAGCCGUUUGGCUUCUCUAACACCUGGACAUAUUUUUCAGUAUUCGGUUUUACCUGACGACGAGAAGGAAGGGGGGAGGAGAGCGCUGCUGGAAGCAACAUGACGGAGAUCCCGAAGAAGCAACCAAGAGGCUCAGAAGUGGAUCCUACUAAAAAGAAAAAGGCCUCCAGUUCAGCGAAGAAAGAAAGUGACAAACAGAGAAGACUAUCGGCGUCACUUUUCCUUGAUGAAGAGCCCUGAAGGUAGGGUGACCAUACGUCCUCUUUUACCCUGACAUGUCCUCUUUUCUGGGGGCUGUCUGAGUUUGACAGCUUAGUCCAGAAAAGUUUAUAAAAUCUUCCAUCCUUGUACUUACGUUUUGAGUUUGUCUCACGUGGACUUACUGAGUUAGAAGCGAGUAAAAGACACUCGAUCCGACCCAAAAACCUCAAAUUUAACUUCAUGCGACACCGCCCCUGCGUAGUCGUGUCCUCUUUAAUAUGGUCACCCUACUGAAGAAGGUGGAGCUUGAGGUUCCACACCGAUGUUGCCCUGAUACUGCUGGAUAGAUAGAUAGAUAGAUAGACAGAUAGAUAGAUAGAUAGAUAGAUAGAUAGAUAGACUUAAUUGAUCCCAAACUGGGAAAUUCACACUGAUCUCUGCUCUGAUCGUACCUAUUCAAGUUAAUAUGUUGAUUUCCACCGGACACAAAAUAAAACAUCCAGCUUCUUUUCAAAAUAAAACACUCCGUGUUUCAGGAGGAUCGUAUUUCACACCAUGCAAACGGGCGGAGACGAACAAGUGAAAGGUUUUUAGACGUCAUUUCACCCCGAUGACACCAUGGAUGAGGAGAUGCUGAUUCUAGAAGUCUAGAAGUAGAUUUCCUCCUCUGGAAGGACACAAUCUACUGCUUAUAUGUCUAUGUGUCUGUCUUUACAGAGACAAUUUGUUAUUGUGAGAUUGUGCGCAAGUUCUCGCGAUUUCCGCUGUCCGAAACGCAUACUGUAGGAAUUGGCAGAUGGCGGAAAUCGCUGCCAUUCCGUAGCGGAGCCGUUCCGAUUGGGUGGAAAUUGGGAGUCAUUCCAUGUACGUGUUACACUGGGCCAUACAUCAUAAUGAGGUACCAGCCAUUUCGAUAUAACGAUGCAGAAAUCCUCUAGGGGGCGAAAGAGGUUACGCACUAUAGCUUUAACAUGAAUCUGACCAAUCAGGGCUUCUGCUCUAAUCCUCUUUAGCAGUCACAUGACAGGUGUGUUACUAUUUACACAGCACACUUCAGCCUAACUCUCAUCCUUCUACUGUUCCUCUACAAACUCUGAAAACACACACAGGUCACUGUAUGGAUUCUGUUAAAACAAUCAGCGACUCUCCGAAUAAACAGAACUUCCUCGUGCAAACAUACGUCCAACAUUUGUGCACGUUUAUAACCUCCUGAACAUGAAACUCCGACGUGAAAGACACCGAGCAGGAAUAUCAUGUGGUUAAAGACCAAGAACUGCGAUCACAGGUCAAAGACACGGGGCGCUCAAUCUUACCGCCGAGUUAAACUGCCGAACCAUCCAGAGGGCUUUUGUUCAGAAUUCGCCAAUUUUCUCUGCCGGGGUCAUCGUGAUGCUGUGAAACUGUUCCCGCACGGGUCAUCCAAUAAACGACUCUGCUGGCACUGAAGGAAAAUUUGAGGAAAUGUCUGAAGAAAUACCUGAACACCAAAUCAACAAGACUGCGACGCAGGAAACACAAGUCAAGGAAAAGUCUCCUGCUGCUUUGAAACCACCUUUGGAGGUUUUGACGAUUCACGUCACAUGUAACCUAGUUUGAGAAAAAGCCAACCCCAUCUGCCGGAGGAGACGCAAACAGAUGAUUACAGGUGUGGUAAACAAACCUGAAGGUUACUCCUCAGUGUUUGAAGGAGAAAACAAAGACAGGUGAUUAAAUUAAGUCCCUGAAUGUUUGUCGUAAACAUCUUUCAUUUCUGACCCUGCAGACGGAGGGAUUAUUAGCAGAUGUCUUUCUUUGGGUUUAACCUCUAAAAGAAAGGUUCUGUUCAAAGGUGAGGAUUUCUACUUGUUUACAACUCGUCUGCAAGAGACUCCAAAACUAAAUAAACCUUUUUUAUUAUUCCUGAACCCGACACACAUGCCGGCACCUCCACUUUUGAACACCUCCUUAUAUUCUCUUCUCCUCAUUUCUGAACCGCAGACAUGUUUCCCUCCUUCCUUUAUUUCCUGCAGCCAUCCUCUUCUUUUUUCUCCUUUUGUGAGUCAAAGUGCAAAAUCAAUCCAGCAGGCAUGCGAGGGAAAGAGGGACCAGCACAAUGGCCCCAUCAUCACCUGUUGUCACAUUGUCCUCCACGCUCUGCAGGACGGCGUUUGUCCUCGGCGUCCUGAGCGCCUCGCUUUGUUUCAUUCAGCUCCACUUCGGGGACGAGCUCCCAGCGCUCCCCGAGCUCGGACCAUUAUGUGGUUUGGCAGCAGAGAGCUUGUCACAGCAGUCAGGGCUCUCAGUGGUGCACACGGGUUAAUUGGUUCUUGGCUCGAUGGAGCACCUUUAGGCGAGAGCGCAGGGGGGGGAAUGUAAGAAUGGAUGCAGCAGGAUCCUCCCUCCGUCUUCCUUUGUGGGAAACACACCAACAAGACACAAGAGCCACACUUUUGAGAAACAAACGAACAAUUGUAAAGAUAUGAAGUUAUACAUCUGCAGUGAGGGGGAUACCAGAGUUUCUUGAAACAGACUGAUUGUAUGGAGACCUCGGGCCAGUCCAUUACGGACUACAGCGGGGUGACGCAGCUCAAGGAAGAACAUUUAUGAUCAUGUCUUUAUCCAUGAAAUAAUAAUCAUCAUAUUAAUCAUUUUACAGACGCCGUAGUUCUUCUGUCUUAGCGUCUCGAUCUGAUUGUAUUUCCAUGAAGAAAUGAUCAUAAAUGUUCUUCCUUGAGCUGUGAAACUCCGCUGUAGUCCGUAAUGGACUGGCCUGAAGUCUCGCUACAAACAAGCGUCUGCUGGAAGAGAGUAAGUAAUCUACUAGGAAUUCAGGAUUUGUUUGGCCAUCUAGGACCCACUGAGAAACGUAGGAAAGUUGGUUCUUGUGUGAAAUACUUGAUUCUGAUUGGUCAAAACUCCAACACAAAAACUGAAAACCAGAUCAGGCUCCUCAUCACAUCAGUCGAUGGAAAGAGGUCACCUCUAUUGUUAUGACUCUAAUGUUAAAUUUAGUCUCUAAUCUGCGUAAUCACCUGUUCACGAUAAAUCAUCUGUGUUUGUCCCAAUAUAAAAGCACCAAGUGAUCGAUUUAUUGUCAACAGGAAGUUUCUCCUUCUGUGGCAUCCCUCCAACUCAUUACUCCUGGACUAUUUCAAGUGAACAUUAACCAAACCUUAACUCUAACUCUGGUUGACCUCAUGUACCAAAACAAUCAACAAACACGUUAGCAAAAGGCGAAAAGUUUCAAUUUGAAAGAAUGAAAACACUGACGACUUUACAGCGCUGUCACUUUCAUGGGAUAGGAACCAAAUUCAACAACUCAUCAUAGUCCAGACUGCAGAAUAUUUGGCACUUUUAUUAUCAUUUCAAUGUGAAUGUUUGCAGUUUGUUUAUUAUUUCGUAAUGAUGUAUUUUAUACUUUUUACACUGAACGAUGUAAACCUGUUUGAAUUGUUGGUACGGUGUGCUCUUUGAAGAAAUGCUUAAUCACGUGUGUCUGGUGUAAAAUCUGAUUUCAUUUAUCAUGCAAUAACUUUUUAGUGCAUAUCAGUUUUUCCCCAAAAUCAUGCAGCCCUAAGUUGUGAUAAAUGUUGCUGCAGUUUUCAGUUUUCAGAUAGUUUGUACAGUUUUUAGAUUAGACGAGGCCCCGUAACAGAACCCUGUGGGACACCUUCAGUAUCCUUAGAUUCAGAUAUGUAUUUAUACCAUCUGUUAAGUGAUUUUUAAGCCUGCUAAGAGUCUUAAAACCUCAAACUAAAUAUUCUGAGUCUGAUUAGCAGCCGUCACAAAGCUCAGAUAAUUCAACAAAUAACAUUUUUGUUCAUAUUUAAUGAGAAAAUGACUAAAACUGAUCUGUUUGGAGUUGCUGGGUUGACACCUGAACCCUCUUGCAGAAAUUUCAGCCGUUAAAAAAUGCCUGUCUCGUCACUGAUGGUCUUGGUUUUUGUUUUGUUUUAUCGUCUAAAAGCAUCAGUUUGAAUUUGAGUCUAUUUUCCAGUCACCUCCUCAGAGUCAGUUUGUAAUGAAAGAGCAGCGAAUCGCUGCGUCAUGCAGGUACCACACGGCAGAGUCAAGGUUAUAUUCUUGGUACAAAACGACUGAAAGGCUUCCAGGAUAAUCCCGGAGGCACGGCAAUCAAACUUCAGAUCCCUGAAAACAGACGGUCCCUGCAGUUAGGGAGGAGGAGGAGGAGGAGGAGGAGGAGGAGGAGCAGUGUGAAAUGUUUGGCAUGCGGAUGGGACGAGGGGUUUUUUGGCGUCACACCUAGAAGAGAGGAUAAAGGGUGGAGUUUGACAUGCAGUGUGCUGAGGAGGAGAUGUAGGAAGCAGAGUCACGGUGAGGACAGUGGGGUGUUUUGUUGUGCAGAGCGGGGGGUGGGGGGGACAGAAAGUGCAAACGCUCGCUUUCUUUAAGCUGCUGCAGACUUGUUGAAAAUCUGCUUAGCUGGGAAGAGUUUCUCCAUAAAGUUAAAGCGAGACGUCACUGGAGUUAUUUGGAGGACUUUCAGGCUGUAACUUCAUGAAGAUUAUGAGAGUAACAGAUGCAGCCCUCCUGUUUGUGUUCAGUUCAGCUUAUUUAGAACUUUUUAUCAGGACUUAUGGAUGUUUUACCAACGAAAAACCCACGAGAGACAAACCUGUUAUAACCUGACUUGAACCAGACUGAGCUGCGGCUGUCUAAAUGUUUUACAAGCUUCAUGUUUUGUUUUAUUAUUAAAUUAUAUGUUUCCAUAUUUAUUUAGACUAAUGCCGAUACCACCUACUGUUAAUCUUCUCCUCACUGUUAUCAGCGUCACCUUUUGAACCUUUUGAGAUUCGAAGUUAAAGGGAUAUUCUGGCAUAAAAUUAAUUUAGGGUCAAACACACGGUAACACCGAGUCAGACCCCCCCUCCAGAGAUGAAUGUUGUCGACCGCUUGCUUCUCUAGUUAUACCAACUUUAGUAACGACCGCAGGAUAGUAAUACAGAGAGCCACGCCCUCAACCAAAACGCCACUCUAUAGCCACAAAUAAUGCUCAGAACAGCACCUAACUUCAUCAACAGGACAUAUAGGGUCACAGACAUAGUACUAGACACCAAACAUCUUUUUAACUUUGACUCAUUUCUUUAACAAAGAUACCAAACACAACUCACCUACUCUCUUCCAGCAGCAAGACCUCAGGCCAGUCCAUUAUGGACUACAGCGGGGUGACGCAGCUCAAGGAAGAACAUUUAUGAUCAUUUCUUUAUCAUUUCCCUUGAAGUAAUAAUCAUUAUAUUAAUCAUUUUACAGACGCGGUAGUUCUUCUGCCUUAGCGUCUCGGUCUGAUUGUAUUUCCAUGAAGAAAUGAUCAUAAAUGUUCUUCCCUGAGCUGCGGCACCCCGCUAGGUCUCCGUAGGUGCUAUUAGGUGCUGUUCUGAGCAUUAUUUGUGGCUAUAGAGUGGCGUUUUGGUUGAGGUUUGUUUAUGGCUCCUCAGACCUCUCUGUAUUUCUAUCCUGCGGUCGUUACUAAAGUUGGUAUAACUAGAGAAGCAAGCGGUCAGAA